CAUCUCAUGGGGUAGUAUAAAAAAUACUUUUUGUUUACACCAAAACUCUGGCCACAAUCCCCCCCAUGA
RNAcentral lists this transfer RNA (69 nucleotides) under Pyganodon grandis (giant floater mussel). RNAcentral describes it as "tRNA-Val". Lineage: Eukaryota; Metazoa; Mollusca; Bivalvia; Unionida; Unionidae. The record is from RNAcentral.